This 253-nucleotide ribosomal RNA is filed under the name uncultured bacterium. Its description in RNAcentral is "partial 16S ribosomal RNA". It matches the Rfam family "Bacterial small subunit ribosomal RNA", at positions 524 to 776 of the family's 1533-position model. The record is from RNAcentral.
UACGAAGGGGGCUAGCGUUGUUCGGCUUUACUGGGCGUAAAGCGCGUGUCGGCGGGUUUGUAAGUUGGGGGUGAAAGGCCGGAGCUCAACUCCGGAAUUGCCUUCAAGACUGCAAACCUGGACCCAUGGAGAGGCAAGUGGAAUUGCGAGUGUAGAGGUGAAAUUCGUAGAUAUUCGCAGGAACACCAGUGGCGAAGGCGACUUGCUUGACAUGUGGUGACGCUGAGACGCGAAAGCGUGUGGAGCAAAUAGG